Molecule: unclassified non-coding RNA, 348 nt
Filed under: soil metagenome
Description: partial contains 5.8S ribosomal RNA, internal transcribed spacer 2, and large subunit ribosomal RNA
Rfam family: 5.8S ribosomal RNA (bases 1-120)
Source: RNAcentral
GAUGAAGAACGCAGCGAAAUGCGAUAAGUAAUGUGAAUUGCAGAAUUCAGUGAAUCAUCGAAUCUUUGAACACACAUUGCGCCCGCCAGUAUUCUGGCGGGCAUGCCUGUCUGAGCGUCAUUUCAACCCUCAUGCCCCUAGGGCGUGGUGUUGGGGAUCGGCCAAAGCCCGCGAGGGACGGCCGGCCCCUAAAUCUAGUGGCGGACCCGUCGUGGCCUCCUCUGCGAAGUAGUGAUAUUCCGCAUCGGAGAGCGACGAGCCCCUGCCGUUAAACCCCCAACUUUCCAAGGUUGACCUCAGAUCAGGUAGGAAUACCCGCUGAACUUAAGCAUAUCAAUAAGCGGAGGA